This 369-nucleotide ribosomal RNA is filed under the name Cryptops niuensis. Its description in RNAcentral is "partial 12S ribosomal RNA". The record is from RNAcentral. Lineage: Eukaryota; Metazoa; Arthropoda; Chilopoda; Scolopendromorpha; Cryptopidae.
UUUAUAUAAGUGUAUUAUUGAGGUAGUAUUAGUAUUCUUGAAACUUAAAAAAGAUUGGCGGUAGUUGGGACAGAUCAGGGGAAUUUGUAAUUAUAAGUGAUAAUCCGCAGGUAAUUUAUUUUUUGUUGUUUAUUUUAGGUUUAUGGAGUUUGUAUAUCGUUGUGGCUGGUUUAUUAAAAAGUAAUUUUUCCUUUAGAUAUUUAUUUUGAAAUGUGGUUAUUCAAAUCAAGGUGCAGCAUAUCAAGAAGAGGAUUAUGAAUUACAAUAUUUUUGGAUAUUAUGGAGUAUUAAUUGUAAUAUUGAUAUGAAGGUGGAUUKKRAAGUAAAUUAAUUAAAGAAUGGUUAGUUGAUUUUUGUUCUGAGAUAUGC